CCCAGGGGGGCACCGAGCCCGGAGCUGACAACGCCAACGACACCAUCAUCCUGCGGAACCUGCACCCUCAGAGCAGCCUGGAGUCCAUCCUGGCCGCCCUGGCCCCCUUCGCGGCGCUCUCGGCCGCCAACGUGCGCGUGAUCAAAGAUCGGCAAACGCAGCUGAACCGCGGCUUCGCCUUCGUGCAGCUCAGCACCAUCGUGGAAGCUGCACAGCUGCUGCAGAUGCUGCAGGCCCUGCACCCACUCCUGCACAUCGAUGGCAAGAGCAUCAAUGUGGAGUUCGCCAAGGGCUCCAAGAGGGACGUGCAGGGGGCGGGGCCUGGGGAGGGGCCCCCCCGCGCCAGCGCCGCCUCUGUCGCCUCCACGGCCAUCGCUGCUGCCCAGUGGGCUCUGUCACAGGUGAGGGCAUGCCUGGGCAGGUGAGGGGCACUGUCACAGGUGAGGGCACACCUGGGCAGGGGAGGACACACCUGGGCAGGGGAGGGGCAUUGUCACAGGUGAGGGCACACCUGGGCAGGGGAGGACACACCUGGGCAGGGGAGGGGCAUUGUCACAGGUGAG
RNAcentral lists this long non-coding RNA (563 nucleotides) under Serinus canaria (Common canary). RNAcentral's name for it is "lncRNA (ENSSCAG00000005231.1)". The record is from RNAcentral. Lineage: Eukaryota; Metazoa; Chordata; Aves; Passeriformes; Fringillidae.